RNAcentral lists this ribosomal RNA (481 nucleotides) under Deccanometrus xanthopus. RNAcentral's name for it is "Heterometrus xanthopus partial large subunit ribosomal RNA". It matches the Rfam family "Archaeal large subunit ribosomal RNA", at positions 1916 to 2669 of the family's 2987-position model. Lineage: Eukaryota; Metazoa; Arthropoda; Arachnida; Scorpiones; Scorpionidae. The record is from RNAcentral.
GGUUUUUAGAGAAUAUUAAAAAUUAGGCCUGCUCAAUGAAUUUUAAAUAGCCGCAGUAUUAUGACUGUGCAAAGGUAGCAUAGUAAUUUGUCUUUUAAUUUAGGACUAGAAUGAACGGUUAGACCGAGUAAUUUUGUCUUGGAGUUAUAUUUUGAACUUUAUGUUUUAGUAAAAAAGCUAAAAUUUAUUUCAGGGACGAGAAGACCCUGUCAAACUUUACAAGUUAAUCUUUCUCUCUUAAGAUAGAGUAAACUUGUUUUGCUGGGGCAGCAAGUAAUAAAAUUUUACUUAUUUAUUGUGAAUCUAUUUCUUUAAAAAUCAGGAAUUUCCUAAAUAAAAAUAAGUUACUGCAGGGAUAACAGCGUAAUUCUUUUUUAGAGUUCUUAUCGAUACAAGAGUUUGCGACCUCGAUGUUGGAUUAAAAUUCCUUCCCCACGCAAUAGUGGGGGAAGGAAGUCUGUUCGACUUUUGAAAUUUUCCA